Molecule: long non-coding RNA, 1128 nt
Organism: Wyeomyia smithii (pitcher-plant mosquito)
Lineage: Eukaryota; Metazoa; Arthropoda; Insecta; Diptera; Culicidae
Exons: 3
Source: RefSeq, a predicted model, not a curated record
UACUCAUGUUUGAGUUAAUAACCUCGUAAAGAUUUCUACUGUGCUUUUAAACCAUUCUCAACACAAUAUACGGUUAGUAAACUGCAGUUGAAACUUUUGUAACUUGUUCGUGAGUAGCACUCAAACUGUCCACUUUCUUAAAAAAUAUCAAAUUCAAGAAGCAAACUCUUAUGUCCUGCAACACGAUUAAAAUCAACACUUAUUGGAUAUAUUGGGCCACUCAUUAAAUCACACAGUUGCAAAAACGCUAAAGCAACACUCAAAAGGUCAAUUGGUUAGGACACAAAAGGUCAAUUGGUUAGGAUUCGACAACCUCUCUAACCACUCAUCCGGCUUCCGCUGAGUGAAGUGUCAGAAUAAGAUAAUCACACGUUACGCAAAACAAAUCAGUUUGUAGAUCGCGUUAGGGAUCGCGCUGCGAAUUCAGUUGUGUUGAUGCACGCCGUAAUUAACGAUCUACCUUCUGAACCGGUGCGCGGUGACGGUGGCAGCGGCGAUUGCCGAACGGCAAUGAACUUUGCUGGCAUUUCGAGGUCGCUGUAGAAAGCGAUUCCCAGCCACCUGGAGACAAGAUGGGUCCACUCGCGGGUGCGUGCCGAACCGUCAUCAUGUCAGAUCCAAAUCUCCGCCGGCAUGCAGCAUCUGUUCUUCGCCACAAAUAAUAGCUUUUCAGCGCUCUAAAUGGCAAACUAUUUCACAACACAGCAAAGUGAUGAGCAUCAUUUGGGCCGCCUGUAGUGUUGCUACUAGUUAAAGGACGGUCUUUUUCUAAUUGAUGGUCUUCAAACACUUAUAUUAUCAUCCUUUGAGUCGAGAGAUGAGUGGACUUGAAUGGGGGACAGAAGAUUUGCAAUAUUGCGGUCGUUUGGAGGCUCUCGGAAUACCACAACUAUAGAAUAUUUCUCCAAUUUAAUCUGGAUUCCUUGACUCAACUAUAUUAUAUGUUGAGAACUUUUAUCUUUUUCGCUAUCAAUAACAAGACGUCGAUUUGGUACAAAUUGCUAUUUUUUCAUUAUACUGUAUGCAAAUACUUAAUUUUUCAUUAUGUUAUCGUGUGCAUUUGAGUUUUUGGAACAAAGUUAAAAGAGCGCUUAACUAUUUACAGAGUACUGUAAAAUAAACCCAUAU